RNAcentral lists this transfer RNA (85 nucleotides) under Nitrososphaerota archaeon. Its description in RNAcentral is "tRNA-Leu". It matches the Rfam family "tRNA". Rfam says of the family: Transfer RNA (tRNA) molecules are approximately 80 nucleotides in length. Lineage: Archaea; Thermoproteati; Nitrososphaerota. The record is from RNAcentral.
GCAGGGGUCGCGGAGCUUGGUCAAACGCGCGAGGUUCAGGGCCUCGUCCCUUAGGGGUUCGUGAGUUCAAAUCUCACCCCCUGCA